This 248-nucleotide ribosomal RNA is filed under the name uncultured bacterium. RNAcentral describes it as "partial 16S ribosomal RNA". It matches the Rfam family "Bacterial small subunit ribosomal RNA", at positions 524 to 771 of the family's 1533-position model. The record is from RNAcentral.
UACGAAGGGGGCUAGCGUUGCUCGGAAUUACUGGGCGUAAAGGGCGCGUAGGCGGCCUUCUAAGUCGAACGUGAAAUCCCCGGGCUCAACCCGGGAACUGCGUCCGAUACUGGAAGGCUUGAAUCCGGGAGAGGGAUGCGGAAUUCCAGGUGUAGCGGUGAAAUGCGUAGAUAUCUGGAAGGAACACCGGUGGCGAAGGCGGCAUCCUGGACCGGCAUUGACGCGUGAGCGCGAAAGCCAGGGAGCAA